RNAcentral lists this long non-coding RNA (4907 nucleotides) under Sus scrofa (pig). RNAcentral's name for it is "lncRNA (ENSSSCG00000057301.1)". Lineage: Eukaryota; Metazoa; Chordata; Mammalia; Artiodactyla; Suidae. The record is from RNAcentral.
AGCCCAGCUCCGAGCUCCUAAGAGGUGGACUCAGGAGUCAAAGUCAAAGUUCCCUGACUUUAAGCUUACUCACUAGUCUGGUUUGGCCAAGGGUGAAGGGUAGCAAUUAUCCACGUUCAUCUUCAAAGCCACCUGCUCUCUCCUUCCCUUCCUUGGGCUCCUCGAUAUCUCCGAUAUCUCCCUCCCCCUGACCCCCAUCCAUGCCCUGCGUCCCAGUCAGAGGGGAAAGGAUGCUAUAGACCCAUCCCAGUGAGGCUUUGGUGACACCCCUUCUGCCCCCAGGUGAGGUCUACUUUAAAACAGGCCCCUGAAGAGGGCAAUGCUGAUCCUCAAGGCAGAAUUUUCUUGCGGGGGAGGUGAUCUGGGGGCAGAGGGGGGUCCUGCAGCUCUGGGCACUGGGAGGAGGGGGACAGAGGAUGGGGCAGCCGUUCUGACACUGAGAAGCGAAACGCAGGCAUGCCAGGAUGCCAUAAAGCUCAGUCUAGCACAGCAAAGUGGCAAAAAGGAAGAAUAAAACAGCCGUCUAUUUAAAAGAGUAACGACAGGGAAAAAUACAUUUUCAUCAGCUCGUCUUCUCGCGGCUGAGUCCCCGCAGCAAGCUCCAAAUUCCGACGUUAGGAAAUAAAUCAAAAUAACUUUGCAGUGUUUAGCCUCAUUUUGCCGCAUCGCUCAGCUCUGAGUUAAAAAGCAACAGGUACCGUGGUGUCUCUCCCAGAAACACAGGAACGGUUUUAAAAUGCAAUUAUGGGGGCUGGUGGAAGGGAAGGGGAAAAAUGUUUUUCUUCGAUUGAUGUAUGAUUGCCCCCAUGCUGUUUGGAAUCGUAUUUUCGCUGAGCUCUGCUAAGAAGUGCUAUUUGCAGGGAGCCUGACAGACGGAAGCGAUUGGGUUUGGCAGGUCUAAAUGUAUUAUUUUAGCAGGUCUCCAAGGAAAGAUUCCGGGAGGGGCGCUGGCCUUUUAAAGUACAGAGGACAAGGGGCUGCUCAGCCUCCAUCCUGCUUGUCAAGACCAAUCAGCCAGCCUGGAAACAGCCCCUGAGCCUUCUGGAGAGGCCUGCCUCCCCUCUUCCCCCCGCCACAGCCUCUUCUUCCCUCCCCUGCAGCCCUUGGCUCCCGCUUGACAGGUCCCAUCAGUCAUUUGUUCAGCCAGCAAGGACUUCCUGAGUGAAUCUGAGGGGCUUGCCACUCUGCUAGGCAUUGUGGGGCUGACGAGGGGGCUUGGGUCAGAUGGGGGUGAUAGAGGCCGGGCCUUCAGGAGGCUCAGGGGAGAGGAGGGUAGUGUAGCCUAGAAGCCUGGAGCAUCUGGCACAUUGGAAUAUUCAGGAAGUCAUCAGUGACAGUGGAAGGAAGUCACGCUUCUGAGAUAGAAACGUCCAUGAAGAAAUGGGACAACCAGGAGUUCCCACUGUGGCUCAGUGGGAUAAGAACAUGAUGUAGUCUCCGUGAGGACUCAGGUUUUAACCCUGGCCUAGCUCAGUGGGUUAAGGGUCCAGUGUCACCGUGAGCUGUGGUGUAGGCAGCAGAUGCAGCUUGGGUCCCUUAUUGCUGUGGCUGUGGUGUAGGCCAGUGGCUGCAGCUCCAAUUCGACCCCUAGCCUGGGAACCUCCAUAUGCUGCAGGUGCGGCCGUAAAAAGAAAAAAAGAAAGAAAUGGGACAACCAGGGGUACCCAAGGCAGGAUCAUGACAUGGCAUGAGUAGGAUAAUCAUUUAAGGAUCAGUGCUAACUGUUUGAGGCCCUACUAUGUAUCAGGCACUUUACAUGUAUUCAUUCAUUUCAUCACAAAUAGACUUGACUAUUAUCUCCAUUUUACAGGAGAAACAGAGACAAAAGGGGAUACAGCCUCUUAUCUGAGGUCACUCAGCCUGUGGGUAGCAGAGGCCAGAUCUAAGCCCUCUUCUCCACUCAGCAGUGGGAAAUCCAGCAGGGGCCAGGCCUGGGAUCAGACCCAGGCAAGGCUGGACGAGCAGCCCAGUAGUCUCCUUUACUGGGCUCUUACAGUGCACCAGGCACUGGGCUCAGCUAGGAAUAAGGAAAUGAAUAAAACCCAGCCCCUGCUUUCAAGAAGUCAAUGGUCACAGGUGGAAAGUGGCCACGUUAAAAAAUCACACACACAAUAGAGGGUGAUGGUACAAUAGCAAAGAGUUUUGCAGGGCACAGAAGUAGCACAGAGGGGUAGCUGAUUACAUUAGUCUCCUUGGAGGGUGAGGCAGGGAAGACUUCCUGGAGGAAGUGAUGUCUAAUCUGAGUUUUAAAGGAUUAGUAGAAGUUGUUAUAUGGAUAGAAGGGUCAGGUGCACGGAAUAGCAAGUGGAAACACUUGGGAGAGAGAUGAAGCUGGGGUGGAAGGAGAUCAUGAAAGGAUUUGUAAGCCAUCCUGAAGGGUAAGGUGGGAUCGGUGAUGGGAGUCGUUGUGAGGAGGAGGGAGCGGUUAAUUCUAGCUUAGAAGUUUAGGGGUGCUGGGUUAGGAGCCUAACAGUAUCUAGUGGAGGCAGGAAAGCCAUGUGUUCUCUAGAUCUGGAUUUCUGAACCUUGGCACUAUGAGAGUUUGGACAAGAUGGUUCUUUGUUGUGGGGGCUGCCCUGUGCAUCAUAGGACAGCAUUCCUGGACAGCACCCACUAUAUGCCAGUAGCACACACCCCCUCCCCAUUCCCCACCCUCCUGAAUCCUAACAACCAAAAAUGUCUCCUGACUUUGCCCAAAGUCCCCUGGGUAGCAAAAUUGCCCUGAUUGAGAACCGCUACUCUAGACCAUCAUCAUUUAGGAGAAAAAGAGGAAUGCAAGAAACAAAACAGCCACAGUGCUUUCUGUGACAGAUCCCUCAUUCUAGGGAACAUUUGGGGAAAGGAGACUAAGAGAGUUCAGGGGAGAGGACUGAACCCUCUUGUGCAGACAGACAGACAUUCAGAUCCAGAAUGGCAAAUACAGUCUAUGUGUGUCUUUCGCCCUUGCCCAAGGCAGACAUCACUAAUCAAUCACGGUGUUCUUUCCCACUGUCAGGAAUUCUGGAAUUCUCAACACAGGGUUCCAGGCAGCCACCACAGUUCAGUGUGGGUAACCCAAGACAAAAUCUGUUGCCCUCCCAGAGUGAGUCUUCUCUGAGAAGAAUUCUUUUCUCUGACCCAAGGGAACAUCCCUAUUCAAAGUGCUCCUUUUGCCCUUUAAACAUUCUUGAUUCAAACAGGGGAGAGGUGUUUUCUUGGUGAGGCUAAGCAUUGUCCCCUCCAUCUUCCUCUCUCCAGAGGAAGCACUGGUCUUAGGACUGUAGGGCCGAAAGUGGAGAGGGCACAUAGCUGCUUCCUCAGUUCAGGAGGAAUCUAGGUGAUGAGGGGGUACAGGGCACAUGGGAACAAGGGGCAGGAAGUGGUUUUGGUGGGUCCAGAGAGGGGUGAUGUGCAUAAAGCUUGGCAAGGACUGCUCCAGGGAAGAGAGGGUUAGACUCCAUCGUCUCCCAACCCCCUCUGGGCAUCUAAGAUUCUCUGAGGUAUUGGUGAGGGUUGGAGGGGGGGGUCUGCCUAGCUUACUUAUCCCAGGGACCAUCUGAGGGGCUCAGGCUCAAGUGUCCUUGGUCCUGCAUUUCCUGAGCCCCUGCCAUACCCCAGGCACCAAGGACUAACAAUUUACUGCUCCCACAGUCUCCCUAUAGAUAGACCUCACUGUCCCAUAUUGCAGGCGGAGGAAGCUAAUGCUCAGAGAUGUUACACAACUGCCCAAGGUCACACAGCCAAGAGAAAGCAGCACAGGUGUCAAAUCCUAACAUCACCAAAUAUGAGUGGGUUCCUCUAGUACCCCACAUCCCUUAACCCCUUGGGGCCCACCUUUCAGAGGGAGAAGUAAGGGGUGCAGAGACGACAAGAGAUCUGAGAGGCCACAUAAUCAAGUAGGUAAUGGCUCUGGAGCCAGACUGGGUUCAAAUUCUACUUCUGCCACUCAUUAGCUAGGUGGCCCCAGGUGAGUUAUUUAAUUUUUCUUUGCCUCGGUUUCCUCGCCUAUUACUUGAAGUUAAUAGCUCCUAACUUGCAAAGUUGGUGCAUGGGUUUUAAGAACUGAGAGCUUGGCACAGUGCCCGGCAUGUAUGAAGGGCUCAGAAAGUGUGAGCCGAAGCCACCUUGGUGCUCAAUACACAUCAGUCCCCUUGCUCUGUCCUGGUCCCUUCUGCUGCACAGGUGCCUCCCCUUGGAACCCUUCUUAAGGAAGCUUGCUUGGUGGUGUGUGUUUCUGAGUCUGAGGUGUCAUGGAAACUGAUCUCAGCCCCAGCCUGAGCCAAAUGUCACCGGAAAGGCACAGCCUGUGGUUUGCUGACACCCCAAUCCCACAAGCCCCAGAAACCUGCCCCAAGGCAGAGGGCCCCCUUGGGCAGAUCACAGGGUGCUGGGAAACCAGGAGGGAGGCGUGGAGUGUGGCCACAGGCCUGGGUGCUCAAGGUGGGGCUGGGGAGGCAGCUGGUAGAGCAGGUCUGGGGAAGGGCCUGUGCAGAAGGCGUAGGUAGCCCCAAGUGACUGGCCCUCUGUCAAUCUUGACUUAGAAGCGCCUCCCCUCUGUCUAGGAACCCCAGUUCUUGUGUCUCUGCCUCCUCCCGGAAAUAAGCUAGUUCUCCAGCCUCCUCGGCAGCCAGGAUGCAGCCAUGGACCCGGCCCAGCCUAGCAGGUGUUCCGCUCCACGAACACGAGGCUGAAGUGAGGCCUGAGCAGAAGCAGGUGCGGUGAGGCCCUGCUUGGCAGAGAUGCCUGCUGACCCAUCUCCUUUCCAAGGGGCAGCUGCGGGCAGGGCUCAGGGGUGGCAUCAAGUGUGCUGGCUGAAGCGUGGCCUCCAGAUUUAGUCCUGGCUGUGUAGCCUCCACUUUGGGUCUCUGGUCUCCCCAGAAACUGAUUUUGGGAUCCAACUAAAAAGCUGUAAUAAAUUCUGUUUCUCC